UGGGCCCCCAAAAUAAACAUAUAUGUACAAGACUAUAGACCUGUGAUUUCUAAGGGUGCAAACCCAAAAGCAAACCCUUGACAUAAUCAGCGGUCUACAGACUGCCCUGAGUUGGAAAUAGGUGAAAAGAAGGGGUGAGUUUUUAUAAACCAGUGAGUAAGCAAAUUUCAUCUAAAACAUCUAAAGUCGAGUAAAUGGAGACAAUUUAAAAUAUCUCAACAUAAUAUGAUUCAUAACAUCAAAUCUCAUUUCAACCCAUGUAAAUCAAUUUCAUUUCAUCAAAAUCAACAAGGCUUAUGAUUCUCUUAAAGCUUGGCUCGUGCCAAAAACUUGCACUCGGUGACACUUUGAGCUGAGGCAUCCAACUGAGUCCGCCAAGGUUGUUAAAAUAACAUAUGAGUAUAAAACUCAUUUUUCCUUUACAUUUAAAAGCACAACCAUUCCUUGGCGUUGGCUAAGUUUCACCCUCACGUGGUGGUUCGGCGUGAGGUGAACUCUAACUUUACCUUAGGAGAUACCCUCUGCGCCUCUCGUACCAAGGUAAAAUAUAAUCGGGUUUACCGUGUCCCUAGAAUAGGCUAGUCCAUGAAAAUCCACCCACUGCAGUAAGCUAGUCAAAUAACCCACCAAUUCAAUAAAAUUUUUGACAGCAUGACAUGGCUA
This 663-nucleotide long non-coding RNA is filed under the name Theobroma cacao (cacao). Its description in RNAcentral is "long non-coding RNA (TCAC_LNC001750)". Lineage: Eukaryota; Viridiplantae; Streptophyta; Magnoliopsida; Malvales; Malvaceae. The record is from RNAcentral.